CAGUCGCCACGGUAAUACGUAGGGUGCGAGCGUUAAUCGGAACUACUGGGCGUAAAGCGUGCGCAGGCGGUUGUGUAAGACAGGUGUGAAAUCCCCGGGCUUAACCUGGGAACUGCGCUUGUGACUGCACAGCUAGAGUAUGGCAGAGGGGGGUGGAAUUCCACGUGUAGCAGUGAAAUGCGUAGAGAUGUGGAGGAACACCGAUGGCGAAGGCAGCCCCCUGGGCCAAUACUGACGCUCAUGCACGAAAGCGUGGGGAGCAAACAGGAUUAGAUACCCCCGUAGUCCCUGUCUCUUAUAC
Molecule: ribosomal RNA, 301 nt
Filed under: uncultured bacterium
Lineage: Bacteria
Description: partial 16S ribosomal RNA
Rfam family: Bacterial small subunit ribosomal RNA
Source: RNAcentral